This 914-nucleotide ribosomal RNA is filed under the name uncultured marine archaeon. RNAcentral describes it as "bacterial SSU rRNA". It matches the Rfam family "Archaeal small subunit ribosomal RNA", at positions 1 to 922 of the family's 1478-position model. The record is from RNAcentral.
UUCCGGUUGAUCCUGCCGGACCUGACUGCUAUCGGAUUGAUACUAAGCCAUGCGAGUCUUUGCAGUAAUGCAAGGCAUACGGCUCAGUAACACGUAGUCAACUUACCCUAUGGACGAGGAUAAUCUCGGGAAACUGAGCAUAAUACUCGAUAGAUCAUAAUGCCUGGAAUGGUUUAUGGUUGAAAUGAUUCGUCGCCAUAGGAUGGGACUGCGGCCUAUCAGCUUGUUGGUGAGGUAAUGGCCCACCAAGGCGAUUACAGGUACGGGCUCUGAGAGGAGAAGCCCGGAGAUGGGUACUGAGACACGGACCCAGGCCCUAUGGGGCGCAGCAGGCGAGAAAACUUUGCAAUGUGCGAAAGCACGACAAGGUUAAUCCGAGUGAUUUCUGCUAAAGAAAUCUUUUGCCAGUCAUAAAACCACUGGUGAAUAAGGGGUGGGCAAGUUCUGGUGUCAGCCGCCGCGGUAAAACCAGCACCUCAAGUGGUCAGGAUGAUUAUUGGGCCUAAAGCAUCCGUAGCCGGCUUUGUUAGUUUUCGGUUAAAUCCAUGUGCUCAACGCAUGGGCUGCCGAAAAUACUGCAUGGCUAGGGAGUGGGAGAGGUAGACGGUACUCAGUAGGAAGGGGUAAAAUCCUUUGAUCUAUUGAUGACCACCUGUGGCGAAGGCGGUCUACCAGAACACGUUCGACGGUGAGGGAUGAAAGCUGGGGGAGCAAACCGGAUUAGAUACCCGGGUAGUCCCAGCUGUAAACGAUGCAGACUCGAUGAUGCAUUGGCAUAUAGCCAGUGCAGUGUCGCAGGGAAGCCGUUAAGUCUGCCGCCUGGGAAGUACGUACGCAAGUAUGAAACUUAAAGGAAUUGGCGGGGGAGCACCACAAGGGGUGAAGCCUGCGGUUCAAUUGGAUUCAACGCCGGG